RNAcentral lists this ribosomal RNA (707 nucleotides) under uncultured Bacilli bacterium. RNAcentral describes it as "bacterial SSU rRNA". It matches the Rfam family "Bacterial small subunit ribosomal RNA", at positions 64 to 754 of the family's 1533-position model. The record is from RNAcentral. Lineage: Bacteria; Bacillati; Bacillota; Bacilli.
GAACGCUGAAGCUUGGUGCUUGCACCGAGCGGAUGAGUUGCGAACGGGUGAGUAACGCGUAGGUAACCUGCCUCUUAGCGGGGGAUAACUAUUGGAAACGAUAGCUAAUACCGCAUAAAAGUCGACAUUGCAUGAUGUUGACUUGAAAGGUGCAAUUGCAUCACUAAGAGAUGGACCUGCGUUGUAUUAGCUAGUUGGUGAGGUAACGGCUCACCAAGGCAACGAUACAUAGCCGACCUGAGAGGGUGAUCGGCCACACUGGGACUGAGACACGGCCCAGACUCCUACGGGAGGCAGCAGUAGGGAAUCUUCGGCAAUGGGGGCAACCCUGACCGAGCAACGCCGCGUGAGUGAAGAAGGUUUUCGGAUCGUAAAGCUCUGUUGUAAGAGAAGAACGAGUGUGAGAGUGGAAAGUUCACGCUGUGACGGUAACUUACCAGAAAGGGACGGCUAGCUACGUGCCAGCAGCCGCGGUAAUACGUAGGUCCCGAGCGUUAUCCGGAUUUAUUGGGCGUAAAGCGAGCGCAGGCGGUUAGAUAAGUCUGAAGUUAAAGGCUGUGGCUUAACCAUAGUACGCUUUGGAAACUGUUUAACUUGAGUGCAGAAGGGGAGAAUGGAAUUCCAUGUGUAGCGGUGAAAUGCGUAGAUAUAUGGAGGAACACCGGUGGCGAAAGCGGCUCUCUGGUCCGUAACUGACGCUGAGGCUC